CCGCCAAUCACGGGACUCCAGGGGCCGUCCGGGCCCGCCGCCAAUCAGCGCUGCCGCCGAGUGGAGCGACGUUGGUUCUUCCAGCCAAUCAUGCGACUCAAGGAGAACUUCCGGCGCUGGGUUCCCGUCUCCUCCAAUCAAUGGCCUUUGGAGGCGGGCCGGCGGCCGUUCAAUCCCCUCCCCUUCCCCCCUUCUGCUCUUGGAUAGGGUUUUUUUAAAAUGCUUUUAAAGGAGGCGUUGCUCCGACCACGUUGAGAUGGUAGUUUCCGGCGUGAGCCGCGAGCCAGUUUGACCCCAUCAGCGUGAGGCGGCGGCGUUGGCGGGGCAGCCUCGGGCAGAACCUCCCCGGGGGUGGAAGGUGGAGUCGGUAAGGCGCGGCCUGGGUCCGGGUUCCCGGGAAGGGCGCCUUCGCCCCAAGACGUGAGCUGGAGCCCCCGGAUCCCGCCAGGCCUCGGUGAGGAUGUCAGACUCCACAUUUCUUUAUCAGGCCAGCUGAACCCGUUUGUAUCUUCUCGAGGGAAACGCGAGGCUUUGGGUUCCCGUAGAGCUAUCCAGCCCUUGCCACUGUAAAUCCACCCUUUUAAACGAAGCCACCUACCGAUUUGACAGCCGCUUCCUGCUCGUCCACCGCCAGAGCCCACGAGUCGGUGGCCAUGAUCCUGGGGGCAGAGGGCGGACACGCGUGAAGACACACAAGACCACGCGACAAGCCCGGCCGGGUUCUGCCGCCAGCGCACGCACGCACGCACGUCACUCAGAACGGAAGCGCGGUCGCGCAGUGACGCCGUCACUUCCGCCGGAGCCGGACGGUAACACUGCGCCGCGCCCAGCAGCUCCGGUCUUGCCCCGCCACGAAGGAGCGUUGCUUCCCUGCAACUGCCUCGUUGUGCCGUCAAAUACUUCACGGCCUCCACACUAACUUGUCUCUGUCCUACUGAGUCUAAAACAAAGUUAAGGCCUAACCCCUGUGGGAAAAAAUACCAUAUGAUGCCAGUUUUUGACAACGUUUAAGAAAACUAUCAAAACCUUUCAAAAAACAAAACAGCUCACCAACAGCCGAGUCAAUAAUCAUCGCAACCCUAUAGGCCAAGUUAGAACUGCCCCUGUCGGUUAGCAAGGCCAUACUUCUUUAUAGUAGAAAGUCUCAUUUUUCUUGCACUGAGCAACGAUUGCUGACCUAUGGUUAGCAGCCCAAGACAUAACCCUGACGCCACCUGGGAUUCUUUUAAAAAUCUUCACUAGUCGGAUUCCACAUAGAUUGAUCCCGUGUAUCAGCCAUCCCUGCACCCUCUUCACAACUGCUUUUCUGGCAACACUUGGUCCUAAAACUUUUGGAUUGGCAAGAUUUAAUUACUUUGACCCCAAGUUACAGCCUGUUAAUCCAUUUUGACAGGCCUUCCUAUUUUUGGCCCCUUCGCCAAGCAUGACAUCAUCAGACUGGUCCUUCCUUUGAAGAGGGUCAGUGACAAAGUGCUUAGUAGAGGAUCAGUGACAAAGAGGAAAGCCCUCAAGAUGGACCGAGUCUGUGGCUGCAGCAGUAGAUUAAAGCAUUACACAGAUGGCAGCAGACCAGGUGAUGUUAUACAUUGGGUCUCCCAGUUAAGCCUGACUAGAUUAAUACCCAACAUUAUACAAUUGUGGGUUUUUUGGGUGUAUUUGUGUCUUAAUUUACCCAUUAAAUGGUGGUGUGUGUGUAUAUAAAUAUAUAUAAAUAUAAAUAUAUAUAUAUUAACUGGAUUAAUGGUUCUUGGGGGUGUAGCAGGGAAAGCUGGAGGGAACAUUAACAAUGAGUACAAGAAAAUGUACUAUAUUUGAUUGUACUAAAUGUACUAAAAUUGAUUGUGGUAAGGAUUAUACAACUCUUCUCCAUGAUUGAAUUGUACAUGUGGAUUACGUACCAAUAAAACUGUUUACAAAUAAAUGAUAAUGUAAGACAGCAUUAAGCACUUAAGAACAAAUUCUUAGGGCCCAAACUUUCUUCUUGGGGGUUAUAUAAGCAGUUUCCAAUGUUUUGCUUUUUUUUUUUUUCAUGUGAAACCUGUAACAUUUUAUUUUUAAAAAAUGAACAGUUUUAGAAUCGAUCUAAAUCUAAUUUUUCCAAAAAACACCAGAGUACAGUGUAAAGCACCUCCUCAUUAAAUACAAACUUUUGUUUUGUGAUGCACUGCAUCAACAUUUUGCAUACACCUUGAUGCAAAGAAUUUUUAAAUUGCAUCCUAUUUAAAUGAAAAAAAAAAAUACAAAACAUUGAGAAUUUAAAUUGCUACAAUUCCAACAAGACUUUCCUCGAACAAAACAAACUUUUUGUAUAUAUACAACACAUUAAGGCUUAAUUGUACCAAAAGCAAAAUUUAUAUCUAAAAAGAAAAUUUAGAUGCACAAAAAGCAAAUGUUUAAUAUGCCAAAGACAUAUUGUUUAAUGAAUUAAAUGGCAAUAUUUGGGGCAAUUUUUAAAGUUAAAAAAUGGCAUUACCAGCUUUGUACAGUAAUAUUUAGAAUAACUCAAAAGGAAAAUGAAAACCACCUUUACACCAUAUUUCCACUAAUUGUUCUGAAGAUGCUCAAUCACUCUGUUAUUUUUCCUUUGCUUUAAAAUAAAACUAUCUCAAAUCCA
This is a long non-coding RNA of Echinops telfairi (small Madagascar hedgehog), 2614 nucleotides long. RefSeq lists it as uncharacterized. Lineage: Eukaryota; Metazoa; Chordata; Mammalia; Afrosoricida; Tenrecidae. The record is from RefSeq and is a predicted model, not a curated record. The transcript has 2 exons.